RNAcentral lists this transfer RNA (73 nucleotides) under Candidatus Woesearchaeota archaeon. Its description in RNAcentral is "tRNA-Thr". It matches the Rfam family "tRNA". From Rfam's summary of the family: Transfer RNA (tRNA) molecules are approximately 80 nucleotides in length. Their secondary structure includes four short double-helical elements and three loops (D, anti-codon, and T loops). The record is from RNAcentral. Lineage: Archaea; Nanobdellati; Candidatus Woesearchaeota.
GCCUCUGUAGCUUAGUAGCCAUAGCGGCGGUUUUGUAAACCGCAGGUCGAGGGUGCAACUCCCUCCGGAGGCU